This is a long non-coding RNA of Pelmatolapia mariae (spotted tilapia), 312 nucleotides long. RefSeq lists it as uncharacterized. The transcript is spliced from 3 exons. The record is from RefSeq and is a predicted model, not a curated record. Lineage: Eukaryota; Metazoa; Chordata; Actinopteri; Cichliformes; Cichlidae.
GUUGUGGUUCUACUGGUUUUACUGGCUCUACUGGUGAGAAGAGAUGUUGACCGGAAACCUGAAGAGGUUUAUACAGCUGUAGUUUACUCAGCAGUGAGAGCUGAAGACGUCAGUAUUGGAGACAAAACCAUCAGAAUGAGGAGUCCAAGACUUUAAACCAGAGCCAGACGUCGUCUACUCUUCACUGAAGUAGUCCACCAGUCCAACCACUGACGUCCAGCUGCUGGUCUCUAACUGGUCCCCCCAGCACCUCAGACCAGAGGACAUCCACAUUGAAUUUUACAUGUCUUAAGUCUUUUUUUCUCACUGAGA